CCAAGGCGACGACGGGUAGCCGGCCUGAGAGGGUGACCGGCCACACUGGGACUGAGACACGGCCCAGACUCCUACGGGAGGCAGCAGUGGGGAAUAUUGCACAAUGGGCGAAAGCCUGAUGCAGCGACGCCGCGUGAGGGAUGACGGCCUUCGGGUUGUAAACCUCUUUCAGUAGGGAACAAGGCCAGCUUUUUGGUUGGUUGAGGGUACUUGCAGAAGAAGCGCCGGCUAACUACGUGCCAGCAGCCGCGGUAAUACGUAGGGCGCAAGCGUGAUCCGGAAUUAUUGGGCGUAAAGAGCUCGUAGGCGGUUUGUCGCGUCUGCCGUGAAAGUCCGGGGCUCAACUCCGGAUCUGCGGUGGGUACGGGCAGGCUAGAGUGAUGUAGGGGAGACUGGAAUUCCUGGUGUAGCGGUGAAAUGCGCAGAUAUCAGGAGGAACACCGAUGGCGAAGGCAGGUCUCUGGGCAUUAACUGACGCUGAGGAGCGAAAGCAUGGGGAGCGAACAGGAUUAGAUACCCUGGUAGUCCAUGCCGUAAACGUUGGGCACUAGGUGUGGGGGACAUUCCACGUUUUCCGCGCCGUAGCUAACGCAUUAAGUGCCCCGCCUGGGGAGUACGGCCGCAAGGCUAAAACUCAAAGGAAUUGACGGGGGCCCGCACAAGCGGCGGAGCAUGCGGAUUAAUUCGAUGCAACGCGAAGAACCUUACCAAGGCUUGACAUGAACUGGAAAUACCUGGAAACAGGUGCCCCGCUUGCGGUCGGUUUACAGGUGGUGCAUGGUUGUCGUCAGCUCGCGUCGUGAGAUGUUGGGUUAAGUCCCGCAACGAGCGCAACCCUCGUUCUAUGUUGCCAGCACGUUAUGGUGGGGACUCAUAGGAGACUGCCGGGGUCAACUCGGAGGAAGGUGAGGACGACGUCAAAUCAUCAUGCCCCUUAUGUCUUGGGCUUCACGCAUGCUACAAUGGCCGGUACAAUGGGUUGCGAUACUGUGAGGUGGAGCUAAUCCCAAAAAGCCGGUCUCAGUUCGGAUUGGGGUCUGCAACUCGACCCCAUGAAGUCGGAGUCGUUAGUAAUCGCAGAUCAGCAACGCUGCGGUGAAUACGUUCCCGGGCCUUGUACACACCGCCCGUCAAGUCACGAAAGUUGGUAACACCCGAAGCCGGUGGCCU
This 1170-nucleotide ribosomal RNA is filed under the name uncultured Arthrobacter sp. RNAcentral's name for it is "bacterial SSU rRNA". It matches the Rfam family "Bacterial small subunit ribosomal RNA", at positions 268 to 1436 of the family's 1533-position model. Lineage: Bacteria; Bacillati; Actinomycetota; Actinomycetes; Micrococcales; Micrococcaceae. The record is from RNAcentral.